CAGCAGCCGCGGGAAUACCGAGGGUGCGAGCGUUAAUCGGAUUUACUGGGCGUAAAGCGUGCGUAGGCGGCUUCUUAAGUCGGAUGUGAAAUCCCUGAGCUUAACUUAGGAAUUGCAUUCGAUACUGGGAAGCUAGAGUAUGGGAGAGGAUGGUAGAAUUCCAGGUGUAGCGGUGAAAUGCGUAGAGAUCUGGAGGAAUACCGAUGGCGAAGGCAGCCAUCUGGCCUAAUACUGACGCUGAGGUACGAAAGCAUGGGGAGCAAACAGGAUUAGAUACCCCAGUAGUCCCUGUCUCUUAUAA
Molecule: ribosomal RNA, 301 nt
Filed under: uncultured bacterium
Lineage: Bacteria
Description: partial 16S ribosomal RNA
Rfam family: Bacterial small subunit ribosomal RNA
Source: RNAcentral